GCGAAAAUAGCUCAGUUGGUAGAGCACGACCUUGCCGGGGUCGCGGGUUCGAGUCCCGUUUUUCGCU
This 67-nucleotide transfer RNA is filed under the name Odoribacter splanchnicus. RNAcentral's name for it is "tRNA-Gly". It matches the Rfam family "tRNA". From Rfam's summary of the family: Transfer RNA (tRNA) molecules are approximately 80 nucleotides in length. Their secondary structure includes four short double-helical elements and three loops (D, anti-codon, and T loops). Further hydrogen bonds mediate the characteristic L-shaped molecular structure. tRNAs have two regions of fundamental functional importance: the anti-codon, which is responsible for specific mRNA codon recognition, and the 3' end, to which the tRNAs corresponding amino acid is attached (by aminoacyl-tRNA synthetases). tRNAs cope with the degeneracy of the genetic code in two manners: having more than one tRNA (with a specific anti-codon) for a particular amino acid; and 'wobble' base-pairing, i.e. permitting non-standard base-pairing at the 3rd anti-codon position. Lineage: Bacteria; Pseudomonadati; Bacteroidota; Bacteroidia; Bacteroidales; Odoribacteraceae. The record is from RNAcentral.